AGUUCUAUUUUGUAGUCAUUCCUUUGUAUCACUAACCAAGAGAGAUCUCAACUUUAACCAACUUCCAAUAUGAAACUGUUCCUUCUCAUCGCUGCUUCUCUACUCGUCCUGUCCACUGUCACUGUAGAAACCGAAGCCAGAGAAAUUGUUGCUGAGGGAGCUGAGGCCGACUCUGUAGAGAUGGAAUCAAUGGAGGAAGAUAGCUUUGUCUUCAGGAAAGAAGAAGAAUCUGCAUUCCUGUUCGCCGACUAAAUCAAA
Molecule: long non-coding RNA, 258 nt
Organism: Bolinopsis microptera
Lineage: Eukaryota; Metazoa; Ctenophora; Tentaculata; Lobata; Bolinopsidae
Exons: 3
Source: RefSeq, a predicted model, not a curated record